Molecule: ribosomal RNA, 522 nt
Filed under: uncultured Thermomonas sp.
Lineage: Bacteria; Pseudomonadati; Pseudomonadota; Gammaproteobacteria; Lysobacterales; Lysobacteraceae
Description: bacterial SSU rRNA
Rfam family: Bacterial small subunit ribosomal RNA
Source: RNAcentral
CGUGAGUGAAGAAGGCCUUCGGGUUGUAAAGCUCUUUUGUCCGGGAAGAAAAGCNUCGGGCUAAUACCUCGGUGUNCUGACGGUACCGGAAGAAUAAGCACCGGCUAACUUCGUGCCAGCAGCCGCGGUAAUACGAAGGGUGCAAGCGUUACUCGGAAUUACUGGGCGUAAAGCGUGCGUAGGUGGUUUGUUAAGUCUGAUGUGAAAGCCCCGGGCUCAACCUGGGAAUGGCAUUGGAAACUGGCGGACUUGAGUGCGGUAGAGGGGUGUGGAAUUCCCGGUGUAGCAGUGAAAUGCGUAGAGAUCGGGAGGAACACCAGUGGCGAAGGCGACACCCUGGACCAGCACUGACACUGAGGCACGAAAGCGUGGGGAGCAAACAGGAUUAGAUACCCUGGUAGUCCACGCCCUAAACGAUGCGAACUGGAGGUUGGGUGCACUUUGGCNCUCAGUCUCGAAGCUAACGCGUUAAGUUCGCCGCCUGGGGAGUACGGUCGCAAGACUGAAACUCAAAGGAAUUGA